RNAcentral lists this long non-coding RNA (954 nucleotides) under Homo sapiens (human). RNAcentral describes it as "non-protein coding lnc-LGR6-2:4". Lineage: Eukaryota; Metazoa; Chordata; Mammalia; Primates; Hominidae. The record is from RNAcentral.
UGAAGGAGAGGCCGAGGGAGGUGGAGCGGGAGGAGGUGGGGCUUACUGUGAAACUGGGUCAAGAUGGCCUCGGAUUUGAGCAGGCAGGGUCACCAGGCUCUGAGGCAGCAGCUGUGAGCAGUGCCGAGGGAGGACCAGCUCUGACGGUGAGGUCGGGUGGGGGACUAGAAUCCAGCAGAGGAGCGAGGGCAGGGCUCCUACCAGGAAACCCAUAGCAUUGACACUAACUGAGAGGCAGCAAAGGCGGUGACACUCCCCCAGGCUCUGUGGGCCCAGCCCUACCCCUGAAGCACAGUUAACUGGUUCUGGGGUAGGAACUGGGGGCCGGAGGGACAGGGUUCUGGUUCUGGCUCAACCUUGGCUGCUGGUGAGAUCCAGGGCCUGGGAAAGAGGGGCUGAGGCCUGAACUGGGCCUAAGGAGAGUGCAGCUCAGUUCGCACACAACAGCACCCAGCCCUGUCCCCUUGCUGCCUCUACCCAGCCCUGGGCAGUUCCCUCAACAGAGCUCUGCAGCCCCAAGUGGCAGCUGCUGGCUCAAAGCUGGGACUACAUGAAAGUCUGAAAAGAGAAUGAGAAGGAGGUGGCGCAAGAGCCUGGACGCACGUGUGGGAGGCCGUUUUGUGCAGCGCCAUUGUGCUCCCCGGGCGGGCAUGUGCUCGCGCUCCGUGGCUCUGUUGGUGCCCAGCGUGCGGGGGUGUGCUGGUGGCCCUGUGGGCCUGUAGGGCAACCCAUGCCAACUGCGGAAAAGUAACCAGCACCAUACACCCCCCCCAACACAAAACUGGUCAUUUAUUUUUUUUGUUGUCAUUGUUAUUAGGAAGCAAAAAAAUGUACAGUUACAAGAAUCAUUUUCCAAACAGAGGUUAAAUAUGAGCUGAAAAGUGUAAAAAAGGAAGAGGAACAUCACUUUACAAAUCAUUAAAUUAAACAAAUAAACAAACAGAACCCAAAGAA